This 109-nucleotide small RNA is filed under the name Escherichia coli. Its description in RNAcentral is "partial RtT sRNA". It matches the Rfam family "RtT RNA", at positions 1 to 104 of the family's 130-position model. From Rfam's summary of the family: This family represents a bacterial cis-regulatory element known as RtT RNA. The exact function of RtT is unknown although it is thought that it may be involved in changing the cellular response in relation to amino acid starvation. RNAcentral also lists the same sequence under 1 other name. Lineage: Bacteria; Pseudomonadati; Pseudomonadota; Gammaproteobacteria; Enterobacterales; Enterobacteriaceae. The record is from RNAcentral.
UUGCAUUUGAAGCCCAUGAGGAUGAGAACCUCCGGGGGCGGGGAGGUUCGACUCGAGCGAAGCGAGAGAACGUUGCGCCAGCAACGGCCCGCAGGGCGAGCCACGAAGU